This 1526-nucleotide ribosomal RNA is filed under the name Escherichia coli. RNAcentral describes it as "bacterial SSU rRNA". It matches the Rfam family "Bacterial small subunit ribosomal RNA". Lineage: Bacteria; Pseudomonadati; Pseudomonadota; Gammaproteobacteria; Enterobacterales; Enterobacteriaceae. The record is from RNAcentral.
AGAGUUUGAUCAUGGCUCAGAUUGAACGCUGGCGGCAGGCCUAACACAUGCAAGUCGAACGGUAACAGGAAACAGCUUGCUGUUUCGCUGACGAGUGGCGGACGGGUGCGUAAUGUCUGGGAAGCUGCCUGAUGGAGGGGGAUAACUACUGGAAACGGUAGCUAAUACCGCAUAACGUCGCAAGACCAAAGAGGGGGACCUUCGGGCCUCUUGCCAUCGGAUGUGCCCAGAUGGGAUUAGCUAGUAGGUGGGGUAACGGCUCACCUAGGCGACGAUCCCUAGCUGGUCUGAGAGGAUGACCAGCCACACUGGAACUGAGACACGGUCCAGACUCCUACGGGAGGCAGCAGUGGGAAUAUUGCACAAUGGGCGCAAGCCUGAUGCAGCCAUGCCGCGUGUAUGAAGAAGGCCUUCGGGUUGUAAAGUACUUUCAGCGGGGAGGAAGGGAGUAAAGUUAAUACCUUUGCUCAUUGACGUUACCCGCAGAAGAAGCACCGGCUAACUCCGUGCCAGCAGCCGCGGUAAUACGGAGGGUGCAAGCGUUAAUCGGAAUUACUGGGCGUAAAGCGCACGCAGGCGGUUUGUUAAGUCAGAUGUGAAAUCCCCGGGCUCAACCUGGGAACUGCAUCUGAUACUGGCAAGCUUGAGUCUCGUAGAGGGGGGUAGAAUUCCAGGUGUAGCGGUGAAAUGCGUAGAGAUCUGGAGGAAUACCGGUGGCGAAGCGGCCCCCUGGACGAAGACUGACGCUCAGGUGCGAAAGCGUGGGGAGCAAACAGGAUUAGAUACCCUGGUAGUCCACGCCGUAAACGAUGUCGACUUGGAGGUUGUGCCCUUGAGGCGUGGCUUCCGGAGCUAACGCGUUAAGUCGACCGCCUGGGGAGUACGGCCGCAAGGUUAAAACUCAAAUGAAUUGACGGGGGCCCGCACAAGCGGUGGAGCAUGUGGUUUAAUUCGAUGCAACGCGAAGAACCUUACCUGGUCUUGACAUCCACAGAACUUUCCAGAGAUGGAUUGGUGCCUUCGGGAACUGUGAGACAGGUGCUGCAUGGCUGUCGUCAGCUCGUGUUGUGAAAUGUUGGGUUAAGUCCCGCAACGAGCGCAACCCUUAUCCUUUGUUGCCAGCGGUCCGGCCGGGAACUCAAAGGAGACUGCCAGUGAUAAACUGGAGGAAGGUGGGGAUGACGUCAAGUCAUCAUGGCCCUUACGACCAGGCUACACACGUGCUACAAUGGCGCAUACAAAGAGAAGCGACCUCGCGAGAGCAAGCGGACCUCAUAAAGUGCGUCGUAGUCCGGAUUGGAGUCUGCAACUCGACUCCAUGAAGUCGGAAUCGCUAGUAAUCGUGGAUCAGAAUGCCACGGUGAAUACGUUCCCGGGCCUUGUACACACCGCCCGUCACACCAUGGGAGUGGGUUGCAAAAGAAGUAGGUAGCUUAACCUUCGGGAGGGCGCUUACCACUUUGUGAUUCAUGACUGGGGUGAAGUCGUAACAAGGUAACCGUAGGGAACCUGCGGUUGGAUCACCU